UACGCAGGGUGCGAGCGUUGUCCGGAAUUACUGGGCGUAAAGGGCGCGUAGGCGGUCCCUCAAGUCGGGCGUGAAAGCCCCGGGCUCAACCUGGGAACCGCGCUUGAGACUGAUGGGCUAGAGUUCGGGAGAGGAUGGUGGAAUUCCCAGUGUAGAGGUGAAAUUCGUAGAUAUUGGGGAGAACACCGAUGGCGAAGGCAGCCAUCUGGACCGACACUGACGCUGAGGCGCGAAAGCGUGGGGAGCAAACAGG
Molecule: ribosomal RNA, 253 nt
Filed under: uncultured bacterium
Lineage: Bacteria
Description: partial 16S ribosomal RNA
Rfam family: Bacterial small subunit ribosomal RNA
Source: RNAcentral